AGAGUUUGAUCCUGGCUCAGGAUGAACGCUAGCUACAGGCUUAACACAUGCAAGUCGAGGGGCAGCGGGAUUGAAGCUUGCUUCAAUUGCCGGCGACCGGCGCACGGGUGAGUAACGCGUAUCCAACCUUCCGUACACUCAGGGAUAGCCUUUCGAAAGAAAGAUUAAUACCUGAUGGUAUGAUGAGAUUGCAUGAUAGCAUCAUUAAAGAUUUAUCGGUGUACGAUGGGGAUGCGUUCCAUUAGGUAGUAGGCGGGGUAACGGCCCACCUAGCCAACGAUGGAUAGGGGUUCUGAGAGGAAGGUCCCCCACAUUGGAACUGAGACACGGUCCAAACUCCUACGGGAGGCAGCAGUGAGGAAUAUUGGUCAAUGGACGAGAGUCUGAACCAGCCAAGUAGCGUGAAGGAUGAAGGUCCUACGGAUUGUAAACUUCUUUUAUAAGGGAAUAAACCCUCCCACGUGUGGGAGCUUGUAUGUACCUUAUGAAUAAGCAUCGGCUAACUCCGUGCCAGCAGCCGCGGUAAUACGGAGGAUGCGAGCGUUAUCCGGAUUUAUUGGGUUUAAAGGGAGCGCAGACGGGUCGUUAAGUCAGCUGUGAAAGUUUGGGGCUCAACCUUAAAAUUGCAGUUGAUACUGGCGUCCUUGAGUGCGGUUGAGGUGUGCGGAAUUCGUGGUGUAGCGGUGAAAUGCUUAGAUAUCACGAAGAACUCCGAUUGCGAAGGCAGCACACUAAUCCGUAACUGACGUUCAUGCUCGAAAGUGUGGGUAUCAAACAGGAUUAGAUACCCUGGUAGUCCACACGGUAAACGAUGGAUACUCGCUGUUGGCGAUAUACUGUCAGCGGCUUAGCGAAAGCGUUAAGUAUCCCACCUGGGGAGUACGCCGGCAACGGUGAAACUCAAAUGAA
Molecule: ribosomal RNA, 909 nt
Filed under: uncultured bacterium
Lineage: Bacteria
Description: bacterial SSU rRNA
Rfam family: Bacterial small subunit ribosomal RNA
Source: RNAcentral